GGAAGGAGAAGUCGUAACAAGGUUUCCGUAGGUGAACUGCGGAAGGAUCAUUGUCGAGACCGAAACUAUAUCGAGCGAUUCGGAGAACCCGUGAAAUAAGCGGCGGCGGCAGUCGCCGCGAAACAGCCGUCCCCGCCGUCGCCCCCCCCUCUCGUCUGGAGGGGCCGCGACGGGGCACGGCUGAAACCCCAAACCGGCGCAGAUUGGCGCCAAGGUAACUAUCGAAAAGCACGAGCCCGGCAUCGGGUCUUCGUGGGGCGGAGCGGUGUUAGCGCACCGCACGUAUUGACACGACUCUCGACAAUGGAUAUCUCGGCUCUCGCAUCGAUGAAGAGCGCAGCGAAAUGCGAUACGUGGUGCGAAUUGCAGAAUCCCGCGAACCAUCGAGUCUUUGAACGCAAGUUGCGCCCGAGGCCAAUCGGUCGAGGGCACGUCCGCCUGGGCGUCAACCGCCGCGUCGCUCCGUGCCAAGUCCCCACCGUUCCCACCGCAGUGGGGGUGCCGGGCGAGGCUCGGAUGUGCAGAGUGGCCCGUCGUGCCCACCGGUGCGGCGGGCUGAAGAGCGGGUUAUCUUCUCAUUGGCCACGAACAACGAGGGGUGGAUGAAAGCUGCCGCGGGCGAGGCCCGCGUUGUCUCGUGCCGGCCCGAGUGAAGAUUACACCCUCCGUGCGAUCCCAUCCCACGCGCCGCCCCCGUGCGGCGGCUUGGAAUGCGACCCCAGGAUGGGCGAGACCACCCGCCGAGUUUAAGCAUAUCAAUAAGCGGAGGAAAAG
RNAcentral lists this ribosomal RNA (774 nucleotides) under Holcoglossum lingulatum. RNAcentral's name for it is "eukaryotic LSU rRNA". The stretch from base 293 to 448 matches the Rfam family "5.8S ribosomal RNA". The record is from RNAcentral. Lineage: Eukaryota; Viridiplantae; Streptophyta; Magnoliopsida; Asparagales; Orchidaceae.